CUUGGCUAAUUCUGAUUGUUUUUUUAAUAAAAUAUAUAAAACAAUGUGCAUUUGUAUUCAUGGGAAAACUAUCCUGGAACUAAGGCACAGAGGCUGACAGGCUGGCCCAGGGCAUCCUCAAAUAUCUGUGUAUUCACAGAUGUUUUCUCCCUCUUCUGUCUCUGUCUCUGUCUCUGUCUGUCUCUGUCUCUGUCUCUCUUCCUCUCUGUCUCUCUCUCUGUCUCUCUGUCUCUCUCUCUCUCUCUGUCUCCUCUCUCUCUGCUCUCUCUCUCUCUCUCUCUCUCUCUCUCUCUCUCUCUCUCACACACACACACACACACACACACACACACACACACACACACACCCCUCCUAACUUAUAUUUAAACCAAAACUUGGGAUUUGCUCUUUGAGGUUAACAUUCAAUGACCAUCGAAAGCCUUCAGAAGUGAGAAAAGAGCCAGCACUGGAGGCCUCCAGACCUGAGACCGAAGUCCCAAAGUUGAGGGAGUACCGGGACGAGGAGGGGGCAUCUCUGGUCCUGAGAAAGAAGUCUUCCAAGGGGGGUCCACAGCACCAUUCCCCGCAUCUCCUUAUCGCAGGGCGCCCAGGGGCUCCCCAGCAGGAGGCUCUGGGGCGGGGCCCAAGGGCCGGGUGACGUCCAUCUCAGAUGGCACCCAUCACUCUGCCUGGGCACAAGAGCAGGGGCUGGAGUGGGGAGCCAAGGUGAGGGACUGGAGCCAGGCCCGCUCACCCACUAUACCCUGAAGAGGGGCCGUGGAGGAGAGAGAAUUGGGAGGCAGAGCCAUCAGCCCCUUCUCCCGCCCCUUGGGUCCCAAUGCCUAGGGGUCACAAGCAGGAAGCCCGCGGGGCCCCUCCGGAGGGUAGAGGCUGAGGGCGCAGGAGAUCCACUUCCCCAGCGGGAGCAGAGGCCGGGCCAGGCUAGCACCUGGGACAGAGGCCAGCUUUCAGGCCCGUCUCUGGGCCCCUCCCCCACCCCCCUGCCAGUGGUCCGCCGGCUCUCCCCGCGCCCCCCUCAGUAGUAGCUGUUCAGGCUGCGGGUGGCCGGGCCGGGGCCGUCGGGCUGCCCGUUCCGCCGGCUCUCCCCGGCCCCCCUCAGUAGUAGCUGUUCAGGCUGCGGGUGGCCGGGCCGGGGCCGUCGGGCAGGGAGUUCCGCCGGCUCUCCCCGGCCCCCCUCAGUAGUAGCGGUUCAGGCUGCGGGUGUCGGGGCGGGGGCCGGGCCGGGGCCGUCGGGCAGGGAGUUCCGCCGGCUCUCCCCGCGCCCCACCUCAGCAGUAGCUGUUCAGGCUGCGGGUGGCCGGGCCGGGGCCGUCGGGCUGCCCGUUCCUCCGGCUCUCCCCGCGCCCCCCUCAGUAGUAGCGGUUCAGGCUGCGGGUGGCCGGGCCGGGGCCGUCGGGCUGCCCGUUCAGCCAGAUCUCGCGGAUGAUGCGCUCCCUCUCCUCCAGCCGCUGCGCCCGCUCCAGCUCCUCGGCCGACGUGAACACGUUCCUGUGGGGCGGCCGCUCGAAGAGCCAGGGCCUGCGCGCGGAGCCGGCCGAGGAGCAGCCGUCGCCGCUGUCGCCGCUGUCCUCGCUGUCGCUGGCGCUGAGGUCGCAGCUGCCGCCGCGGCGCCCGGCCGGGCCCUUCUUCCCGCGCCGCGGCCGGCAGUCGGCGCGGCAGGACACGGUCAGCACCAAGGCGGCCAGCGUGAGCACGAGCCCCACGCACACGCCGGAC
This 1716-nucleotide long non-coding RNA is filed under the name Sarcophilus harrisii (Tasmanian devil). RNAcentral describes it as "lncRNA (ENSSHAG00000026776.1)". The record is from RNAcentral. Lineage: Eukaryota; Metazoa; Chordata; Mammalia; Dasyuromorphia; Dasyuridae.